UUGAACGCUAGCGGCAUGCCUUACACGAUGCAAGUCGAACGGCAGCACGGGGGCAACCCUGGUGGCGAGUGGCGAACGGGUGAGUAAUGCAUCGGAACGUGCCCAUCGAUGGGGGAUAACUGCGCGAAAGCGUUGCUAAUACCGCAUACGACCUACGGGUGAAAGCAGGGGACCGCAAGGCCUUGCGUCGAUGGAGCGGCCGAUGCCGGAUUAGCUAGUUGGUGAGGUAAAGGCUCACCAAGGCGACGAUCCGUAGCUGGUCUGAGAGGACGACCCAGCCACACUGGGACUGAGACACGGCCCAGACUCCUACGGGAGGCAGCAGUGGGGAAUCUUGGACAAUGGGCGAAAGCCUGAUCCAGCAAUGCCGCGUGUGGGAAGAAGGCCUUCGGGUUGUAAACCACUUUUGGCGGGAAAGAAAUGGUCUGUGCUAAUACCACGGAUUGAUGACGGUACCCGCAGAAUAAGCACCGGCUAACUACGUG
RNAcentral lists this ribosomal RNA (485 nucleotides) under uncultured bacterium. Its description in RNAcentral is "bacterial SSU rRNA". It matches the Rfam family "Bacterial small subunit ribosomal RNA", at positions 29 to 507 of the family's 1533-position model. The record is from RNAcentral.